UCACUGUGUACAUUCUGCGGUAUACUAGAUCUUUGUGUGCACCUAGUGGUGUUAUAUUUCACUGUGUACAUUCUGCGGUAUACUAGAUCUUUGUGUGUACCUAGUGGUGUUAUAUUUCACUGUGUACAUUCUGCGGUAUACUAUAUCUUUGUAUGCACCUAGAGGUGUUAUAUUUCACUGUAUGCGACUAACAUUCUAUUUUGUUCUUU
This is a non-coding RNA of Pelobates cultripes (western spadefoot toad), 209 nucleotides long. Lineage: Eukaryota; Metazoa; Chordata; Amphibia; Anura; Pelobatidae. The record is from the annotation of a GenBank genome assembly.